This 164-nucleotide ribosomal RNA is filed under the name uncultured bacterium. RNAcentral's name for it is "partial 16S ribosomal RNA". It matches the Rfam family "Bacterial small subunit ribosomal RNA", at positions 355 to 511 of the family's 1533-position model. The record is from RNAcentral.
UAGGGAAUCUUCCACAAUGGGCGCAAGCCUGAUGGAGCAACACCGCGUGAGUGAAGAAGGGUUUCGGCUCGUAAAGCUCUGUUGUUAAAGAAGAACACGUAUGAGAGUAACUGUUCAUACGUUGACUGUGUUUAACCUGAAAGUCACGGCUAACUACGUGCCAG